RNAcentral lists this transfer-messenger RNA (366 nucleotides) under Evansella alkalicola. RNAcentral's name for it is "Standard tmRNA". It matches the Rfam family "transfer-messenger RNA". Rfam says of the family: Bacterial tmRNA, also known as 10Sa RNA or SsrA, is named for its dual tRNA and mRNA-like properties. Its role is to liberate the mRNA from a stalled ribosome. To accomplish this part of the tmRNA is used as a reading frame that ends in a translation stop signal. The record is from RNAcentral. Lineage: Bacteria; Bacillati; Bacillota; Bacilli; Caryophanales; Bacillaceae.
GGGGACGUUCUGGAUUCGACAGGGGUAGGUCGUGCUUAAGUCGCGGGCCGAGCUGGGUGUCCUCGUAUAAAACGCCCAUCGCCUAUAGUUGGCAAAGAAGAAAACAACUUCGCAUUCGCUGCCUAAUAAGUAGCUGAUUGCGGUUCCUCCCUUCAUCGCCCAUGUGAAGGAUCAGGGACUCACUCUAAGUGGGAUACGCCUUGCGUCCACCGCCUGAGGACAAUAGGAAGAGAUUAAUCGGGAUAGCUACACGGAAGCCUGUCAGUUGGCUGAAGUGUUAGCGAAAUGCUAAUAAACUGACUACGCUCGUAGACGCUUAAGUUACGUUAUCUCUGGACGUGGGUUCGAUUCCCACCGUCUCCACCA